UGCCUUUUCCUGUGCGUGUCUCUUUA
RNAcentral lists this non-coding RNA (26 nucleotides) under Rattus norvegicus (Norway rat). The record is from RNAcentral. Lineage: Eukaryota; Metazoa; Chordata; Mammalia; Rodentia; Muridae.